CACACAGGUGUCCCCGUGGCACACAGGUGUCCCCGUGGCAGACAGGUGUCCCUGUCCCCAUGGCACAUAGGUGUCCCCAUGGCACACAGGUGUCCCCGUGGCACACAGGUGUCCCCGUGGCAGACAGGUGUCCCUGUCCCCAUGGCACAUAGGUGUCCCCAUGGCACACAGGUGUCCCCGUGGCACACAGGUGUCCCUGUCCCCAUGGCACACAGGUGUCCCUGUGGCACACAGGUGUCCCUGUCCCCGUGGCACACAGGUGUCCCCGUGGCAGACAGGUGUCCCUGUCCCCAUGGCACAUAGGUGUCCCCAUGGCACACAGGUGUCCCCGUGGCACACAGGUGUCCCUGUCCCCAUGGCACACAGGUGUCCCUGUGGCACACAGGUGUCCCUGUCCCCGUGGCACACAGGUGUCCCCGUGGCAGACAGGUGUCCCUGUCCCCAUGGCACAUAGGUGUCCCCGUGGCAAUCCUCCGGGGGCUGCGGGGGGACCGGGACCCUCCGCGGGUUGCGGGCAUGGGGACCCCCGGGGCUGUGGGGGAAUCGGGACCCUUCGGGGGGUGCGAGGGGACCCCGAAUCCUCCGGGGGUUGUGAGGGGAUCGGGACUCUCCGGGGUCUGUGGAGGAGGAUCAGGACCCUCAAGGGGUGCGAGCGGACCCCGAAUCCCCCGACACCGCGAGGGCACGGGGAGCCCCCCCCGGGGCUGUGAGGGGACCGCGACCCCCGGGGCUACGAGAGGAUCGGGACCCUCCGGGGCUGCGAGGGGAACCCGAACCGCGAGGGGACCGGGACCGUCCGGGGGCUGUGAGGGGAUCGGGACCCCCCGGCGGGUGCGGGGCGAUCGGGACCCCCCGGCCCGGGGCCGGGGGGGGGGGGGGGGGGGGGGGGGGGGGGGGGGGGGGGGCCCCCCCGGCCCGGGGCCGCCCCUCCCUCACCCCCGCGCCCCCAGGACAUCCUGGAGAACGAGAGCAUCACCCUGGACUGGAUGUUCCGCUACUCCCUCACCAACGACAUCGUCAAGGGGAUGCAGUUCCUGCACAGCGGGGUUUUCGUGUCCCACGGGAACCUCAAGUCCUCCAACUGCGUGGUGGAUUCGCGCUUCGUGCUCAAGAUCACGGACUACGGGCUCGAGAGCUUCCGCCCGGCAACGGACGGCGACGACAGCCACGCGCUGUUCGCCAAGAAGCUCUGGACGGCGCCGGAGCUGCUGCGCAUGGAGGAGCCGCCGGCGCGCGGGACGCAGAAAGGCGACGUGUACAGCUUCGGCAUCAUCCUGCAGGAGAUCGCGCUGCGCUGCGGCGUCUUCUACCGGGAGGGCGCCGAGCUGAGCCCCAAAGGUCAGCGAGACACGGGGGGACACCCUGGGGACACGGGGGGACACGGGAGGACACGGGGGGACACCCUGGGGCACGGGGGGGACACGAGGAGACACAGGGAGACAUCCUGGGGACACGGGGAGACACCCUGGGGACACGGAGGGGACAGAGGGGGACAGCUGGGGACACGGGGGAACACCCUGGGACACGGAGGGGACAUCCUGGGGACACGGGGAAACACGGGGAAACACGAGGAGACACCCUAGGGACACGGGGGGACAUGAGGAGACAUCCUGGAGACACGGGGGAACGUCCUGGGGACACGGGGGAACACGAGGAGACACCCUGGGGACACGGUGGGGACACCCUGGGGCACGGUGGGGACAUGAGGAGACACAGGGAGACAUCCUGGGGACAUGGGGGAACACCCUGGGGACACGGGGGGACACGGAGAGACCCCUGGGGACACGGGGGGACACGGAGAGACCCCUGGGGACAUGGAGGGGACACCUAGGGACACUCUGGGGACACCCUCGGCUCCUGGACUCUCUGAUGGGUUCCUGAACCCAUGAAUGGGUCCCUGGACCCUCUGAUGAGUUCCUGGAACCAUUAAUGGUUCCCCGGACCCCCUGAUGUGUCCCCAGAACCCCUGAUGGGUCCCUGGACCCUCUGAUGUUUCCCCGGGCCCCCUGAUGAGUCCCCGGGCCCCCCGAUGUGUCCUCGGACCAUGUGCAGGGUCCCCGGGCCCCCCGAUGUGUCCCUGGAUCCCCUGAUGAGUCCCCGGACCCCCCGAUGUGUCCCCGGACCCCCCGAUGUGUGGGGGGGGGGGGGGGGGGGGGGGGGGGGGGGGGGGGGGGGGGGGGGGGGGGGGGGGGGGGGGGGGGGGGGGGGGGGGGGGGGGGGGGGGGGGGGGG
Ficedula albicollis (Collared flycatcher) is the source of this 2231-nucleotide long non-coding RNA. NCBI's taxonomy places the organism in Eukaryota, Metazoa, Chordata, Aves, Passeriformes, Muscicapidae. The record is from Ensembl.